AAUGAAGUGCCUGACAAAAGGGUUACAAUGAUAGAGUAAAUUAUGUAAAAGCACUUACCUUCAUUA
RNAcentral lists this transfer RNA (66 nucleotides) under Xizicus maculatus. RNAcentral's name for it is "tRNA-Ile". The record is from RNAcentral. Lineage: Eukaryota; Metazoa; Arthropoda; Insecta; Orthoptera; Tettigoniidae.